This 710-nucleotide ribosomal RNA is filed under the name uncultured bacterium. RNAcentral's name for it is "bacterial SSU rRNA". It matches the Rfam family "Bacterial small subunit ribosomal RNA", at positions 94 to 823 of the family's 1533-position model. The record is from RNAcentral.
AGCGGCGGACGGGUGAGUAACGCGUGGGUAACCUGCCUCAUACACAUGGAUAACAUACCGAAAGGUAUGCUAAUACAAGAUAAUAUAAGAGAUUCGCAUGGGUCUCUUAUCAAAGCUCCGGCGGUAUGAGAUGGACCCGCGUCUGAUUAGCUAGUUGGUAAGGUAACGGCUUACCAAGGCGACGAUCAGUAGCCGACCUGAGAGGGUGAUCGGCCACAUUGGAACUGAGACACGGUCCAAACUCCUACGGGAGGCAGCAGUGGGGAAUAUUGCACAAUGGGCGAAAGCCUGAUGCAGCAACGCCGCGUGAGCGAUGAAGGCCUUCGGGUCGUAAAGCUCUGUCCUCAAGGAAGAUAAUGACGGUACUUGAGGAGGAAGCCCCGGCUAACUACGUGCCAGCAGCCGCGGUAAUACGUAGGGGGCUAGCGUUAUCCGGAUUUACUGGGCGUAAAGGGUGCGUAGGUGGUUUCUUAAGUCAGGAGUGAAAGGCUACGGCUCAACCGUAGUAAGCUCUUGAAACUGGGAAACUUGAGUGCAAGAGAGGAAAGUGGAAUUCCUAGUGUAGCGGUGAAAUGCGUAGAUAUUAGGAGGAACACCAGUAGCGAAGGCGGCUUUCUGGACUGUAACUGACACUGAGGCACGAAAGCGUGGGGAGCAAACAGGAUUAGAUACCCUGGUAGUCCACGCCGUAAACGAUGAGUACUAGGUGU